CAAUGGACGAAAGUCUGACGGAGCAACGCCGCGUGAGUGAUGAAGGUUUUCGGAUCGUAAAGCUCUGUUGUUAGGGAAGAACAAGUGCGAGAGUAACUGCUCGCACCUUGACGGUACCUAACCAGAAAGCCACGGCUAACUACGUG
RNAcentral lists this ribosomal RNA (146 nucleotides) under uncultured bacterium. Its description in RNAcentral is "partial 16S ribosomal RNA". It matches the Rfam family "Bacterial small subunit ribosomal RNA", at positions 369 to 507 of the family's 1533-position model. The record is from RNAcentral.